Molecule: ribosomal RNA, 287 nt
Filed under: uncultured beta proteobacterium
Lineage: Bacteria; Pseudomonadati; Pseudomonadota; Betaproteobacteria
Description: partial 16S ribosomal RNA
Rfam family: Bacterial small subunit ribosomal RNA
Source: RNAcentral
AAGAAGCACCGGCUAACUACGUGCCAGCAGCCGCGGUAAUACGUAGGGUGCGAGCGUUAAUCGGAAUUACUGGGCGUAAAGCGUGCGCAGGCGGUUUGGUAAGACAGAUGUGAAAUCCCCGGGCUUAACCUGGGAACUGCAUUUGUGACUGCCAGACUAGAGUGUAGCAGAGGGGGGUAGAAUUCCACGUGUAGCAGUGAAAUGCGUAGAUAUGUGGAGGAAUACCGAUGGCGAAGGCAGCCCCCUGGGCUAACACUGACGCUCAUGCACGAAAGCGUGGGGAGCAA